Molecule: long non-coding RNA, 2884 nt
Organism: Acipenser ruthenus (sterlet)
Lineage: Eukaryota; Metazoa; Chordata; Actinopteri; Acipenseriformes; Acipenseridae
Exons: 3
Source: RefSeq, a predicted model, not a curated record
CUUUGGAUAAAAGCGUCUGCUAAAUGACUCCUAAUAAUACAGGGCUGGUGAAAAAACUGAGGAGCAGAGUUUGCACUGACUGUAAACUACACUGUAUUUAAAUAUGAAGCUUGCAUUGUAAUCCUGUGCUGCCCUGGAACACCUGUGAGAGUCGUCUUGGAUAAAGACGUCUGCCUGAUAAAUAAAUAAUGAUGAAGUAGUAUUAAUGUCGAUUCUGAUGCAGUCUCUCUCUCUCUCUCUCUCUCUCUCUCUCUCUCUCUCUCUCUCUCUCUCUCUCUCUCUCUCUCUCUCUCUCUCUCUCUCUCUCUCUCUCUCUCAGCCUUUCCUCCCUCGAUCAGGACAUCCUACAGGAAGGGUUCAAGGUGCAGGCGCGUGCCAAAUUUGAACAGAGUCCCAUCACAAACUCUGACAAAGCCAAGCUGAAGAACGUGACGGUGGUGGUGGGCUCGGACCUGGUCCUCCCCUGCCAGCUGAUCUCCAACCUGGCGCGGCCCCUGUGGCUCUUCAACGACCUGCAGCUGGUCCCGGGGCGGGGCGUCCGGGUGGAGUCCCGGCUGGGGGCCCUGGUCAUCGAGGGGGGCGGGCGCGGGGGAGGCGGGGCGCUACACCUGCCUGUCCCAGGAGAGAGGGGAGCGUUUCCUGGCGGAGCGCUACGUGGUCUCCUGUGGUGGCCAGCGCCCCAGUGUUCAUGGAGGCGCGCGCUCCGGACGGGAGCUUGGGGCUGGUGUGGGUGCUGGUCAUCACGCUGGCCUCGGCCUGCCUUCUGCUGCUGGGCUCCGUGCUUUACUUGCGCAGGAGGCUGAAGCAGGGCAAGGACUCAGAGCUCAUGAAGCCCCUGGAGAGCACGCUGGUCUACCCCCAUCACCCUGCCCCGGGAGCCGACCCACUUCGUACGCAGCAAAGGCUCGGACUCGGAGCUGUGGGACACCGGGAAUUAUUACUACUCGGACGGCUCUUUGAAGAUCGUUCCCGGCCACGCCCCGUGUCCCAGCGCAGCCCCGGGUAGCGGGAUCCCCGGCCAGCCCCUCCCCAGCACCGCGGCCCUGCACUCCCCCAACCGGCUCAGCCUGGGGAACAUCAGGGGCUCCGGCAGCAACGGCUACAUCCGGCUGAACCUGAGCAGCGCAGGGGAGGAGCGGGCGGAAUUCAGCGCUCCCUUCACAGAGGAGCUGAGGAAGACUCUGCAGCAGAGGAGCGUGCUGCCCGACACCAACCCAGAGGAGUCUUCAGUGUAGCUCCUCCCAGACCCUCCUGCCCCCUCUCCCUCCCUCCUCGUCAUCCUCUCUCUCUCUGUCUCUCUCUCCGUGGGAGCGGGACACAGACGCCUUGCCCGCCUCGAUCACGUCACUGCUGCCUCUGCAUCUUUUUCUGCACUUAGGUUUUGUUUAAUGAAACGGAAGCGAAGGCGUUUUUUUUUUUUUUUUUUUUUUUUUUUUUGCAAACCGUGCGAGAGAAGAUGUUUUUAAACAGCAGCCAAAAAACGCGAGGCCUGGGAGAGUUUUUGAGGGGUGUUUCGGAAAGGAGUUUGGGGGGGCUGACAUGGGACUUUUUUCUUUUUUUAAGUGAAGUGUUUUUUUAAAACGACAAAAAAAGAGAGACUGUUCUGUUUUAAUUCUUGUUUUGUAUAUGUUGGGACAUUUUCACGUGUUCGGUUCAUUCAUCGCUCCCCUUUUUGUGUUUUGAUUGUAUGUGUGCUCGUGUCUGUACAGUGUAUAAAUAUCUAAAUAUUGAAUUGAUGUCCUGCAUCGCGCCCGGGGUUUCAGGGAGCUCGACGAAGAACGCGGCUCCAGCAAUAACGAAAACCAAAAAAAAAAAUGUUAUCUUUUAUCACAGAAGCCAAAACACAGCAAGAGAGAGAAACGAGAUUCAAUGCAAUACGAUCCGAGGCAACUCAACUCAGCCGCACGAGGCGAUGGAUGUUGACAGGAUAUUGAGACUCCUUUUUAAGAGAUGGGGGGCUGGAGCUCCACUGCGCCCCCUUGUGUGUUUCAUGGGCGCUGCCUCCUGUCCAGGGCUGGGUCCAUCCUCGCUCUCCCUGCUAGGGGGGGGGGUGCUCUGCUUUUGGAUUACGGUUUCUUGGCUCAUCGAUGACCACCCCCCCCCCCCUCCCCACCGAGCCCCCGGUCAACCACGUCCGACACAGCGUCACUGCUGUGUUCACCUGUCCAGUCUGACUGCUUCAUGAGAUGGGUUGUGGAAGACGCAGAAGACUGCGGUCUUGCAGGGUGACUAAACCGAGGAAGGACGCGGAGCGGGGGGGAUUCGAGGAUGAGAUCCAUCGAAGCCAGACUCCUCCAGGCACGGAAGGAAGCCGGGAUGUGGCGGUUUGGAAUGUUUUCCGUGCCAGGAGGCGGGGCAGUGCUGUUCUUGCAGUCGAUUUCCUGAAGGAUCUGGGAUGGUCAGGAACUGUCAGUCGAAACGACAGCUGUUUAUUGAAAAAAAAAAUUGUGGAGGAUUUUUACAGAGGUUUCUAAUUCAAGAUCGCAGAAGAAAUGUUUUUUUUGAGACUCGUGUUUUAUUGUGUUUCUGCGUUCGCCACGCGCUCCGAGGUGUCCCGGGUUCAUCUUGAGAUUCUAGGAGCCCUCCCCCAGCUCUCUGCAAUGCGCUUCACAGAACAGAGCUCAGGAACGCUAUCUAGAGAAGCACAGCCCGGGGUUUUGAUGUCUCUGCGUUGUACAGACGCUGUCAACGGGGACGCGAUUUUAAACACGCGCUUCACCAACACGCUCGCGUUGCUUUUUGUUUUUUUGCAAACCUUUUUUUGUUUUUUUAGAGGAUUUCAUUGUAUUGUAACUUAUUUUGCCUGUACAAAAUGUUCAAUAUUUAUUAUCCCUGUACAUAAUUCCUUAUUUUUUAUAUAUGAAUAAAAAGUUCGAGUCACUGA